RNAcentral lists this ribosomal RNA (253 nucleotides) under uncultured bacterium. RNAcentral's name for it is "partial 16S ribosomal RNA". It matches the Rfam family "Bacterial small subunit ribosomal RNA", at positions 524 to 776 of the family's 1533-position model. The record is from RNAcentral.
UACAGAGGUCUCAAGCGUUGUUCGGAUUCAUUGGGCGUAAAGGGUGCGUAGGCGGCGCGGUAAGUCGGGUGUGAAAUCUCGGAGCUUAACUCCGAAACUGCAUUCGAUACUGCCGUGCUUGAGGACUGGAGAGGAGACUGGAAUUUACGGUGUAGCGGUGAAAUGCGUAGAUAUCGUAAGGAAGACCAGCGGCGAAGGCGGCAUCCUGGACCAAUACUGACACUGAGGAGCGAAAGCCAGGGGAGCAAACGGG